AUCGCUUCUCGGCCUUUUGGCUAAGAUCAAGUGUAGAAGACAUUUGUUAUCUAUUCAUUGUGAUAAGACUCUGUUCCUUCUUGAAGGCAGGGAAGGAGACUAAAACAAGGUAGCCUGAUAAACUGAGAUUUACAUAUUAGAAAAAAGUCCUGGUCUUCAGUAGCUUUU
This 168-nucleotide small nuclear RNA is filed under the name Tupaia belangeri chinensis (Chinese tree shrew). Its description in RNAcentral is "Tupaia chinensis (Chinese tree shrew) U2 spliceosomal RNA". It matches the Rfam family "U2 spliceosomal RNA". Rfam says of the family: U2 is a small nuclear RNA (snRNA) component of the spliceosome (involved in pre-mRNA splicing). Lineage: Eukaryota; Metazoa; Chordata; Mammalia; Scandentia; Tupaiidae. The record is from Rfam by way of RNAcentral.